CCUACGGGGGGCUGCAGUGGGGAAUUUUGGACAAUGGGCGCAAGCCUGAUCCAGCCAUGCCGCGUGUCUGAAGAAGGCCUUCGGGUUGUAAAGGACUUUUGUCAGGGAGGAAAUCCCUAGCGCUAAUAUCGCUGGGGGAUGACAGUACCUGAAGAAUAAGCACCGGCUAACUACGUGCCAGCAGCCGCGGUAAUACGUAGGGUGCAAGCGUGGAUCGGAAUUACUGGGGGUGAAGCGUGCGGUGGCAGGUGAAAGCCCCGGGCUCAACCUGGGAACUGCAUUGGAGACUGCACGGCUAGAGUGCGUCAGAGGGGGGUAGAAUUCCGCGUGUAGCAGUGAAAUGCGUAGAGAUGCGGAGGAAUACCGAUGGCGAAGGCAGCCCCCUGGGAUGACACUGACGCUCAUGCACGAAAGCGUGGGGAGCAAACAGGAUUAGAUACCCUUGUAGUC
RNAcentral lists this ribosomal RNA (450 nucleotides) under uncultured bacterium. RNAcentral's name for it is "partial 16S ribosomal RNA". It matches the Rfam family "Bacterial small subunit ribosomal RNA", at positions 338 to 795 of the family's 1533-position model. The record is from RNAcentral.